GCCACAUGAUGAGUUUGAGUAGCGUCAGCAGCUCUCGGGGCCAUGAUGACCUGCUAUCUAUCACCCCUUACUGAUGGCU
This 79-nucleotide small nucleolar RNA is filed under the name Labrus bergylta (ballan wrasse). Its description in RNAcentral is "Small nucleolar RNA SNORD83 (ENSLBEG00000019173.1)". It matches the Rfam family "Small nucleolar RNA SNORD83". From Rfam's summary of the family: U83 (SNORD83) and U84 (SNORD84) are members of the C/D class of snoRNA which contain the C (UGAUGA) and D (CUGA) box motifs. The record is from Rfam by way of RNAcentral. Lineage: Eukaryota; Metazoa; Chordata; Actinopteri; Labriformes; Labridae.